UGCGGCUGAUUAGAUUCACAUGGCAUGCAUGCGUGAGACCAGGGGAAGCGGCAGGCAGCAACAGCGAGGCACACGUCCUGCUCCUGUCUGCUGCCAUGCUACUUUUUGUUUAAUAUUAGUUAAUCAAACAGUCUAGCAACGAUCCUUUUACAUAUAUACAGUGACUAACUGCUGAUGCUGAAGCUGAAAGAAGAAGAUGGAGAAGGCAGGCCGACAAGCGCACCUGCCCUGCCCUGCUCGCCAGGGACAUCAGAUGACGACGACGCGGAGAGGGAGUGUUCAGCAAUCUAAUCUUGCGUCCACGUACAUUACAUCAUUUAUUAUUAUUGGACUCUGUCAGCUCAGCAUCAUCCACUUUAAUGACCUGUCUGUCCGCCUGCUCGCUCGCUCUGCCUCCUCUCUGCUCUUAUUAUAGAGGCACCCGCCACCCACGCACGCUCCAUCUCC
This 447-nucleotide long non-coding RNA is filed under the name Panicum hallii. Its description in RNAcentral is "long non-coding RNA (PHAL_LNC000471)". Lineage: Eukaryota; Viridiplantae; Streptophyta; Magnoliopsida; Poales; Poaceae. The record is from RNAcentral.